UACGGAGGGUGCAAGCGUUAUCCGGAUUCACUGGGUUUAAAGGGUGCGUAGGCGGGCAUGUAAGUCCGUGGUGAAAUCUCCGAGCUUAACUCGGAAACUGCCAUGGAUACUAUGUGUCUUGAAUGUUGUGGAGGUGGGCGGAAUAUGUCAUGUAGCGGUGAAAUGCUUAGAUAUGACAUAGAACACCAAUUGCGAAGGCAGCUCACUACACAAAUAUUGACGCUGAGGCACGAAAGCGUGGGGAUCAAACAGG
RNAcentral lists this ribosomal RNA (253 nucleotides) under uncultured bacterium. RNAcentral's name for it is "partial 16S ribosomal RNA". It matches the Rfam family "Bacterial small subunit ribosomal RNA", at positions 524 to 776 of the family's 1533-position model. The record is from RNAcentral.